RNAcentral lists this transfer RNA (75 nucleotides) under Isosphaera pallida ATCC 43644. RNAcentral's name for it is "tRNA-Glu (TTC) (tRNA-Glu-TTC-1-1)". It matches the Rfam family "tRNA". From Rfam's summary of the family: Transfer RNA (tRNA) molecules are approximately 80 nucleotides in length. Lineage: Bacteria; Pseudomonadati; Planctomycetota; Planctomycetia; Isosphaerales; Isosphaeraceae. The record is from Rfam by way of RNAcentral.
GGCCCCGUCGUCUAGCCAGGUCCAGGACACAGGAUUUUCAUUCCUGCAACACGGGUUCGAAUCCCGUCGGGGUCA